GUCGAGCGAGCGGAACCAACAGAUUUACUUCGGUAAUGACGUUGGGAAAGCGAGCGGCGGAUGGGUGAGUAACACGUGGGGAACCUGCCCCUAAGUCUGGGAUACCAUUUGGAAACAGGUGCUAAUACCGGAUAAUAAAGCAGAUCGCAUGAUCAGCUUUUGAAAGGCGGCGUAAGCUGUCGCUAAGGGAUGGCCCCGCGGUGCAUUAGCUAGUUGGUAAGGUAACGGCUUACCAAGGCGACGAUGCAUAGCCGAGUUGAGAGACUGAUCGGCCACAUUGGGACUGAGACACGGCCCAAACUCCUACGGGAGGCAGCAGUAGGGAAUCUUCCACAAUGGACGCAAGUCUGAUGGAGCAACGCCGCGUGAGUGAAGAAGGUUUUCGGAUCGUAAAGCUCUGUUGUUGGUGAAGAAGGAUAGAGGUAGUAACUGGCCUUUAUUUGACGGUAAUCAACCAGAAAGUCACGGCUAACUACGUGCCAGCAGCCGCGGUAAUACGUAGGUGGCAAGCGUUGUCCGGAUUUAUUGGGCGUAAAGCGAGCGCAGGCGG
RNAcentral lists this ribosomal RNA (550 nucleotides) under uncultured Bacilli bacterium. RNAcentral describes it as "bacterial SSU rRNA". It matches the Rfam family "Bacterial small subunit ribosomal RNA", at positions 61 to 578 of the family's 1533-position model. The record is from RNAcentral. Lineage: Bacteria; Bacillati; Bacillota; Bacilli.